GUGAGGAAUUUUGCGCAAUGGGGGAAACCCUGACGCAGCAACGCCGCGUGAGUGAUGAAGGCCUUCGGGUCGUAAAGCUCUGUCAAGUGGGAAGAACCUGCUCUGUGAUAACACCACGGGGCACCGACGGUACCACUGAAGGAAGCACCGGCUAACUCCGUGCCAGCAGCCGCGGUAAUACGGGGGGUGCUAGCGUUAUUCGGAAUCAUUGGGCGUAAAGGGCGCGUAGGCGGUCUUUUAAGUCAGAUGUGAAAGCCCUCGGCUUAACCGAGGAAGUGCAUUUGAUACUAAGAGACUUGAGUAUGGGAGAGGGAAGCGGAAUUCCUGGUGUAGCGGUGAAAUGCGUAGAUAUCAGGAGGAACACCGGUGGCGAAGGCGGCUUCCUGGACCAAUACUGACGCUGAGGCGCGAAGGCGUGGGGAGCAAACAGGAUUAGAAACCCCAGUAGUCC
This 451-nucleotide ribosomal RNA is filed under the name uncultured bacterium. Its description in RNAcentral is "bacterial SSU rRNA". It matches the Rfam family "Bacterial small subunit ribosomal RNA", at positions 354 to 796 of the family's 1533-position model. The record is from RNAcentral.